GAUGAACGCUGGCGGCGUGCCUAAUACAUGCAAGUCGAGCGAACAGACGAGGAGCUUGCUCCUCUGACGUUAGCGGCGGACGGGUGAGUAACACGUGGAUAACCUACCUAUAAGACUGGGAUAACUUCGGGAAACCGGAGCUAAUACCGGAUAAUAUAUUGAACCGCAUGGUUCAAUAGUGAAAGACGGUUUUGCUGUCACUUAUAGAUGGAUCCGCGCCGCAUUAGCUAGUUGGUAAGGUAACGGCUUACCAAGGCAACGAUGCGUAGCCGACCUGAGAGGGUGAUCGGCCACACUGGAACUGAGACACGGUCCAGACUCCUACGGGAGGCAGCAGUAGGGAAUCUUCCGCAAUGGGCGAAAGCAUGACGGAGCAACGCAGCGUGAGUGAUGAAGGUCUUCGGAUCGUAAAACUCUGUUAUUAGGGAAGAACAAAUGUGUAAGUAACUAUGCACGUCUUGACGGUACCUAAUCAGAAAGCCACGGCUAACUACGU
This 496-nucleotide ribosomal RNA is filed under the name uncultured bacterium. RNAcentral's name for it is "partial 16S ribosomal RNA". It matches the Rfam family "Bacterial small subunit ribosomal RNA", at positions 28 to 506 of the family's 1533-position model. The record is from RNAcentral.